RNAcentral lists this ribosomal RNA (502 nucleotides) under uncultured Desulfobulbus sp. Its description in RNAcentral is "bacterial SSU rRNA". It matches the Rfam family "Bacterial small subunit ribosomal RNA", at positions 903 to 1382 of the family's 1533-position model. The record is from RNAcentral. Lineage: Bacteria; Pseudomonadati; Thermodesulfobacteriota; Desulfobulbia; Desulfobulbales; Desulfobulbaceae.
GCCCGCUCAGAAACUACAAAGGAAUUGACGGGGGCCCGCACAAGCGGUGGAGUAUGUGGUUUAAUUCGAUGCAACGCGAAGAACCUUACCUGGUCUUGACAUCCCGGAGACCCUUAGGAAACUAGGGGGUGCUUCCAUCUGGAAGAAUCUGGAGACAGGUGCUGCAUGGCUGUCGUCAGCUCGUGUCGUGAGACGUUGGGUUAAGUCCCGCAACGAGCGCAACCCUUGCCUUUAGUUGCCAGCAGUUCGGCUGGGCACUCUAAAGGGACUGCCGGUGUUAAACCGGAGGAAGGUGGGGAUGACGUCAAGUCCUCAUGGCCUUUAUGACCAGGGCUACACACGUACUACAAUGGCCGAUACAAAGGGCAGCGACACUGCGAGGUGAAGCCAAUCCCGUAAAAUCGGUCUCAGUCCGGAUUGGAGUCUGCAACUCGACUCCAUGAAGUUGGAAUCGCUAGUAAUCGUGGAUCAGCAUGCCACGGUGAAUACGUUCCCGGGCCUU